RNAcentral lists this ribosomal RNA (253 nucleotides) under uncultured bacterium. Its description in RNAcentral is "partial 16S ribosomal RNA". It matches the Rfam family "Bacterial small subunit ribosomal RNA", at positions 524 to 776 of the family's 1533-position model. The record is from RNAcentral.
UACGAAGGGGGCUAGCGUUGCUCGGAAUCACUGGGCGUAAAGCGCACGUAGGCGGCUUGUUAAGUCAGGGGUGAAAUCCUGGAGCUCAACUCCAGAACUGCCUUUGAUACUGGCGAGCUUGAGUCCGGGAGAGGUGAGUGGAACUGCGAGUGUAGAGGUGAAAUUCGUAGAUAUUCGCAAGAACACCAGUGGCGAAGGCGGCUCACUGGCCCGGUACUGACGCUGAGGCACGAAAGUGUGGGGAUCAAACAGG